AGAAGAUUAUCAACAUAUCAUCUGAAGUGAUCAACAUUCACAUUAUCCCCACCCAAACAAAGCAUUUCAAAACAAAAUAUUGAAAAAAGCAUCGGCUUGUCCCCGGACUGUCCUACACAGUGAAAGUACACUUCUGUCCUGACGAAUGGCGCUACUUCUACGACUGUAUUCGGGUUCAUUGCAAGGGGGAAGAGAAUUUACAGGUUCCAGUCCAUGCCUACCCCAUCAUCGAUGACUUGCACAUCCCAACACACAUCACCAUACCAGCUGUCCCACUGGG
Long non-coding RNA from Salvelinus namaycush (lake trout), 280 nucleotides. RefSeq lists it as uncharacterized. The record is from RefSeq and is a predicted model, not a curated record. NCBI's taxonomy places the organism in Eukaryota, Metazoa, Chordata, Actinopteri, Salmoniformes, Salmonidae. The transcript has 3 exons.